Pseudophryne corroboree (corroboree frog) is the source of this 289-nucleotide non-coding RNA. RefSeq annotates it as small Cajal body-specific RNA 7. The record is from RefSeq and is a predicted model, not a curated record. The transcript has a single exon. NCBI's taxonomy places the organism in Eukaryota, Metazoa, Chordata, Amphibia, Anura, Myobatrachidae.
UGGAGAUGAUGAAAUAGAGAUUUGGGGUGUUGUGAGAAUGUUUGAAUAAUCUUAUAUAAACUUGUGUAUGUUUUUACAGUUUUGUGUGUGUGUUCUGGUUAUUACAAGGAGGCUCUGAAUUGACUUAGUCCUGCUGACUUCGGAGUGCAUCUGAGGAUUGUUGCAAUAUGAAGGGCUUUGCUGUAACAUUUCCAAUGAUUAGAGCCCUAAAUUAUGUUUCCUAAAUAACCUGCACACCCUUAUAUCUCUGACAGAUAUGCUUUAAACCCAUAUCUGUGAUCUGAUCCAA